Molecule: ribosomal RNA, 433 nt
Filed under: uncultured bacterium
Lineage: Bacteria
Description: partial 16S ribosomal RNA
Rfam family: Bacterial small subunit ribosomal RNA
Source: RNAcentral
AACGAACGCUGGCGGCAUGCCUAACACAUGCAAGUCGAACGAGACCUUCGGGUCUAGUGGCGCACGGGUGCGUAACGCGUGGGAAUCUGCCCUUGGGUUCGGGAUAACAGUUGGAAACGACUGCUAAUACCGGAUGAUGACUUCGGUCCAAAGAUUUAUCGCCCAGGGAUGGGCCCGCGUCGGAUUAGCUAGUUGGUGAGGUAAGAGCUCACCAAGGCGACGAUCCGUAGCUGGUCUGAGAGGAUGAUCAGCCACACUGGGACUGAGACACGGCCCAGACUCCUACGGGAGGCAGCAGUGGGGAAUAUUGGACAAUGGGCGAAAGCCUGAUCCAGCAAUGCCGCGUGAGUGAUGAAGGCCUUAGGGUUGUAAAGCUCUUUUACCCGGGAUGAUAAUGACAGUACCGGGAGAAUAAGCCCCGGCUAACUCCGUG